This is an RNA transcript of Podarcis raffonei (Aeolian wall lizard), 4335 nucleotides long. It is a transcript of the gene named USH1 protein network component sans, with no coding region annotated. The transcript has 3 exons. NCBI's taxonomy places the organism in Eukaryota, Metazoa, Chordata, Lepidosauria, Squamata, Lacertidae. The record is from RefSeq and is a predicted model, not a curated record.
GAACUAGUGGUCACUCACAGCCCUUUGAAAUUCAGGUCAUGCAUACUGAGAUGGUUGAUGCAACAAACAGGUGCCUGGAAGCACAUGCAUCGUACAGGCACCACAUGCGCAGCCUGCAUUAGAUGUGGGCAUACACUGCGUAGUAAACAGGCACAAAGCAAUUUUGAAGAACAUUCCUGGAAGACGACUACUGCUAUUCUGAAAUUGAACCUUCUCACUUGGGUAAGCACUGGAGGAAGUGCCAUAGCACAGCGGGUGAUGUUUUUCAUGCAGAAGGUCCCAGGGCUAUUGCCCACCCCUCCCAGGUAGGACUGGGAGAGACCCCCGGCCUGAAGGCCUGGAGAGCUGCCAGUCAGUGCCCACAAUACUGAGAUGGAUGGCGCAAGGGUCUAACUGGUUAAAAGUCAGCUGCUUUGCUGCUUCACACAGUUGUAGAGUUCUCUGUUGAAUGGAAAUUGUGGAGGGAAGCCUUUUCAAAAGUGGAUUUUUGUAUGCGGCAACUAUCCCUCCCAGAAACUUCCUUUCAAAAAACACAACAACACUGUUAUCUCAGAUUUGAAGGGGAGGGAGAAAAUGUCUCAGAACAGCAGGUAGCAGGCAGAAAGUUUUAAGUCCCUUGAAAGCGAGAACUUCAGCUAUUGAGGCAACAGCUGAGCAGAGAAUUCCACAGUGUUACCAGCCCAUUUUGCUGCUAGGAAGAGGACAGAACGAGUGUCUUCUGCAAGGGGUUUGCUAAGGUGAAGUGCACACCAGAGAGAGGCAAAGAAUCCUUAGGACCCAGGGGAAUCCACAGAAACUAAUCUCAUGCAUUCAAUAUGAGGAGUUCCUCCCCUCACUGGUCAGGGAUUCUCAGGUGUCCAAGUAACAAAGCUCCCUCCUCCUCCUCCUCCUCCUCUCUUUUCUCAGCCAGCUGCUUUCCUGGAACUCUCUCCUCAGACUCCAUGCCCGUCCUCUUACUAUCCCCUCUCGCCCUUCCCAAUGAAGCGGCCAGGGAGUAAAGCUGCACCAUGAACGACCACUACCACAGGGCAGCCAGGGAUGGCUACCUCGACCUGCUGAAGGAAGCCACCAAGAAGGACCUCAACUCGCUGGAUGAGGAUGGCAUGACCCCAACCCUAUGGGCCGCCUACCAUGGCAACUUGGAUGCGUUAAGGCUGAUAGUUAGCAGAGGGGGUGACCCAGACAAAUGUGAUAUCUGGGGGAACACGCCUCUUCAUCUGUCAGCAGCCAAUGGUCAUCUCAAUUGCCUCUCCUUCCUGGUGUCUUUUGGGGCCAACAUCUGGUGUUUGGACAAUGACUACCACACUCCACUGGACAUGGCAGCCAUGAAGGGCCACAUGGAGUGUGUGCGUUAUUUGGACUCCAUUGCUGCCAAGCAGAGUGGCCUCAACCCCAAGCUGGUGAGCAAGCUGAAGGACAAGGCCUUCAAGGACGCAGAGAAGCGGAUUAAGGACUGUGUAAAGAUGCAGAAGAAGCACCACGAGAGGAUGGAGAAGCGGUACAAGAAGGAAAUGUCUGACCACUCGGACACUAUGAGUUUUUCCAGCUACUCCAGCAGCACUCUGAGCAGGAGGUUCCAGCACAUGUCUAUGAUGACUUCCUUGCCAUAUUCUCAGGCCACCAUACACGGCACAGCCAAGGGCAAGACCAAAAUCCAGAAGAAGCUGGAGAAAAAGAAGCAAGUGGAUGGCACCUUCAAAAUCUACGAGGAUGGGAGGAAAAGUGUGAGGUCCUUGUCUGGUUUGCAGCUGGGCAACGACGUCAUGUUUGUGAAACAAGGCACCUACGUUAGCCCAAAGGACUGGACGCGGCGCAACGUUAGGGACAUGUUUAUGACGGACGAAGAUACUGUCUCCCGUGCCAUAAGUGACCCAGGUUUGCACAUGGACUCGGCCCAUUCUGAGGUCAGCACUGAUUCUGGUCACGACUCUUUAUUCAAUCGACCUGGACUUGGCACGAUGGUUUUCCGGAGGAACUAUGUCAGUAGCGGACUGUUUGGAAUUGGCCAGGAUGACCCCAGCAUGCUGGGAGAGGACAGGAUGGGUGUUAAACUUCACAACCGCCUGCAGCGCUCGCCAAGUCUCAAUGACAGCAUCGGCAGUGCCAACAGCCUGCAGGAGAGGAAUGUGGAGGAGCUGCCGUGGGAUGAGGUGGAGCUGGGCCUGGAUGAUGAUAUCGAACCCGAGACGAGCCCUCUGGAGACCUUUCUGGCUUCCUUGCAUAUGUCUGAGUUUAUUUCAAUCCUCAAGAAGGAGAAGAUUGACCUAGAAGCUCUUAUGCUGUGUUCGGACAAUGAUCUGAAAAGCAUCAACAUUCCACUGGGGCCCCGGAAAAAGAUGCUGGAUGCUUGCAAGAGGAGGAGACAGACUAUGGAGAACCCUGAAGUCAUAGAAGACACUGAGCUGUAAGCAAUUGAGCCCCCUCCUUUCACACUCAUGGAAUGCACACAGGUCUUCAGCAUGCGAUGCACAUAGCAUAGAAUGAUAGCUGUUUUUAAGGAACAAGAAAUGAACAGAAAAACAAAACCCCAGUUCUAAGUUGCCAGAAAACAUCUCCCAGUGAUCCUAACAGUGGGAAAUAAUGAACGCCAUAAUAAAAGGCCCAAUUCUAACCACCUCUCAGCUUCCUUUCUCUGCUUUCCUGCCUGCAGACUUUUGCCAGAGAACAGCCUCUUGCUUAAGAGCAUUUUGGGGACAUGAGUUGCACUACACUAAUCUAACCAUGCAGUCUUAUACAUGUCUACUCAGAAGUAAGCCCCAUCAAGUCCAACAGGACUUACAGGGCCUGUGGCGCUCCAGCUGUUGUUGAACACUUUCCCCCACCACAGGAUUUCCAGGCCUAUCCUAUAUGAACAGCGACGGAUGAAGGAGCUUCAUUUGAACCAAACCUUCACGACUCUGUGAUUACCACCACCAAGAUUUGCAAUGUCAGUGGAAUCCCACCAGUAUUGUAACUUUGGCUAUCACAUUGUGAAGCCACCUAGGGCCAAGUUGAGCAGGAGCUCACCUGCAUUUCCUGCUCUGAGAACUCUAGGGAAAUUGCUCUUAUUCCAAGUAACUUUGCACAGUUCAGGCUGCAUGACUUGGAGUGGGAGGCAAAUGUAUGGAAAUAGGCAUGAGUGGAAUUUAUUUUUUUAUGCCUGCCUUGUCUUUAUGCCUGCUGCUUUCACUUACUGUGACUGGAACGAACACACACACACACACACACACACACACACACACACUGUCUUAAGCCUCUUUUCCCCACAAGGUUUAUAUUUUUGCUAAUGGAUGGGCUGGUCUAUGUUACAGAACUUCUCCUGGUGAUGUAUCUUCAUCAGUUUUGCAAAGGCUUUGUUGCAAUGUUUUAAAUAAAGGUAAAACAAGCUAAGCCAUACCAAUGGGAUUGGUGAAGAAAACUCCACUGACAAAAUAUAGGGGCAGACCUUUCAGCACAGGACAGCUUAUUGCCAUGUGUAAACAUAGGUCCCUCCACUCACAGAAUUGUAGAGGGUCAUCUAGUCUAACCCCCUAGGAAUGAAGGAAUCCUGCCCACAGCCGCCUCCCCUGAGCCACUGUCAUUUGACAGCAGUUAAGAGCAUCUGAUCACAUAUGCAUGUGGUUUGAAUCCAAAGGACCAAUACUGGGCAAAUUUAAACUGUGGUAAACUGAAUUUUAGCCAAGCUCUUUGUUUAUAUUAGCCAUUAAACGAACAACCUAAACUUGGUUGCAAUUCUCAAGCCUACUUUUAUUCAGUAGGAUUUCUCUGGAGCAAGUGUUGUGUGGUUUGAGAUCAUGGAGAGAAACCGUUUCCCUUUCUCCACUUUACAUGACUCUCUUGUGCCCGACCAUAUCUACAGUGUAUAUCUUUCAGGCUGCAAUCUUAUGUGUACUUGGCAGUAAGCCUGACUGAACAUCAGUGGGUGGAAUCCAAUGUUGUGCAAACUUUCUCUUGCACAAUGGGCCUUCACUGCUUCCGUCUCUCUCUCUCCUGUGAACACCCAAAUUUUGCUCUGGAUAGGGAAUCCCCACCAUCCAGAACACAUAUUCUGAGGUGUGAAGAGGGCUGGGAGAGGGAGAAGGUGAAGUCCUAUUGCAUGAGCAGAAGUUAAUUUUACAAUCCAACAGGGACUCAUUUCUGAGUAAAUAUGCAUAAAAUUGGGCUGCAGUUUGGAAAUGUUUGUGCAUUUACAGUACAUCUCCUAUCUUCUAUGGAUGUUUGGUAUGUUUUGUAUUCCUUGUAUGUAUGUAUGUAUAUCCAACCUGUAAAAGGACCCUGUUGUUUACCGCUUAUUUAUUAUACCAUGUGCAUACUAUUCCCUGCCACUGCCUGAUUACAAUAUUUUUAAUAAAAAGA